GAGACGCCGGGCCCCUGACGUCACCUGAUUCGCCAGGAAAUGAACUUUUUAAUAAUCCGAGAAGGAAAAGACCCUCAGCCCUCUCACCCCCUCCGCACCCGGGACCAAUAGCCCGGGCUCCCCGGGGCUGGACCGAACUUCCAAAGACACUUCAUCCCCUACCGGGGCCCCAAGGGGCUGGGUUCCCGACCUCUCUCGUAGGAAGGAGGCGGAGGCGCAUGACACCAACAUUUGUCCCACUUUCUUCUCUGCAACUCGGUUUCCCCGCUCGGUUUGUUGGCCUGACCAGCACGUUGCUUUCCUCCCCGAUCGCCGAUCGCCGCUGGCAGCUUCAGUCCCAGCUGGCCCUAAGACCGAAGGUCAGUAGAGAGCACGGGUGAGCUGGGGACAAAACCAGCCGAGGAGCGCCGCAAGUCCCCGAAGCCCAGGAUCUCGAGAAGGAACGGCAAGCCACGGUUACUGGGGUCCGGAGGUGGGAUGCAAUGGGAAUGGAGGCAGGGGAGGAAGAGGAAGAAAGGAGGAAGGGAAGCAGAAAGAAAAUGGAGAGAAAGAUUGGUCCUUGAAAGAGGGAGCUGACCAGAUCCUCCGCCUCCUGGGCCCUGGGAGAAAAUCUCCACAGAACAGAGAACGGAACUGAACCGCCGUACUGAAGUCCCCUUUUCUCUUUCCUGGUGGUAUCUUUUCUCCCCCGCCCCCCCCCCCCUUCCUAGGCCGACGGCCCCACAUCCUUUGCUUCCUUUUCUGCCUGGCUGAAAAGUCUUCCAGGUGAGUAAGGAGGCUUCCUUGCAUUCCCGGUGCCAGGGAUGGGGAGAUAAAGACUUCUCCUUCCCCCUCCCCACCACCAAAAAAAAAAAAACAAAAAAAAAAAAACUGGAAUUAGAAGGUGCCUCCAAAGUGUGCAGCCAGGUAGGUCUGCUCCUCCGUUUAGUGGGAUGCGACCAGGCUGGUGCAAAGAGGGGAGAGGAAAGCGAUAGGCUCUUGGCUACUGAUUAGGCUGUGAGUCGAAGAACGAAGAAUUAUUUUCCCCACUUUCUUAUACGGUUGUAAUGAGUAAUAGAUUGCUUUUGUCACCAGAAAUCAUAAUCGUUGUUGUUAUAACUACCAUCACAAUCCGAAGUUAAAACCAAUAUUGUUCAAUUCGUUCUCAUAAAUGACAGUGGACUCCCUGCGGGCAAAAUCAACUUAAGCAGUUGGUGGUGUCGGUGUUCUCACCCUUCCCGAAGCUGUCCUCUCUAGGGGCUCACAAACAAGGGGGGGGGGGUGUGGAAGAGGGGAAGAUUCGAAUUUAAUUACCUCGCUCAACCGAACGGAAAAUAGCCGGCCCUUGGCUGUUUACGGACCCACAGGCAGUCGGGGAACACGGCUGGUUAAACACUCUUCCCUUCAAGGCUGGCGCCUCUCUACAGGAACCGGGUACCCGCAGCCUGCAUUUCGGGCCUCGUUCUUCCCCACGUCUGCGACCAGGCAUCCAGCAUCCGUAGAGACAGGAGAACUGGAAGCCUGGCUGGCUGCAGGAGGGCUGAUUAGAAGAAAUGAAAUCUCCCAGGUAGAAGGAACAAGAGACCCUGCAACCCCCAGAAACUGGCCCCGAGCAUGGGCAAUAAAUCCUCAAGAACUAGCUUUUCCAACCUGCCCUGCCUCUUUCUUAGCAGAAGGUAGAAAUGAGCUUCCUGGCCCUUUUGGUCAGGGCACUUGUCCUGCUUCAUGUUGCUUAUUUUUUUGGAAGAGAGAAGUGCUUUUAAAAGCAUUGGAAAUGCGGACAGCCCAGCCUGUCUUUGAUUUGAUUGACAAGGGCGUUCACAUUCGUUAAAGGAGUACAGGACUCAAGUAGCAAAGUACUUACUGGGAGGAUUAGAGCUGAAAGGGGACAUCUGGUAUUGAAGUGAAAGAAUAAAAAUAUCUGUAACAAAGUUACACGAAGAAACAGGCAAUAUGUGUAAAUAACCGUUGUGUUUUCACUCUUCAAUGGGGUGUGAAGCUUGGCUAGGUCCGUAUUCACUUGCUCUCCUGAACUGCCAAAGAUCCAAGCCUUCCCUUCAUUGAAGGUUUUUUUACUGACACUUGAGAAAGAUUUUAAACGGCCGUCUCUGCAAUCUAGAGGCCCAAUAAACUGCCCCCGCCCCCCCACCAAAAAUAAACUAGCCCUGACGCUUUCCACCAGAAGAACCGAAAGCACCCCACUCUGGGAAGCCGCAGUCCCCAAACGGGCUUGAGUCGCCUGGGCUAUUCCAGACCCGCUCUGCGUUCACCAAAACGGCUCGCUAGAGCACCCUCCCCCAGCUGAGCCCUGGGUCGGCCUAUCCAGCGGUCCCGGCCAGCUCAGCUCAGCUCAGCUCCAUUCCGGGGAAUGAAGACGCAUUGUUCAGCCCACAGCCCUGGCCACUUUACUCUUUGUUUAAACUUCACUCAUCCUGAGG
Molecule: long non-coding RNA, 2417 nt
Organism: Gracilinanus agilis (Agile Gracile Mouse Opossum)
Lineage: Eukaryota; Metazoa; Chordata; Mammalia; Didelphimorphia; Didelphidae
Exons: 4
Source: RefSeq, a predicted model, not a curated record